Long non-coding RNA from Homo sapiens (human), 1276 nucleotides. NCBI's taxonomy places the organism in Eukaryota, Metazoa, Chordata, Mammalia, Primates, Hominidae. The record is from Ensembl.
GGGCUGAAGGGCUCCUUGAGCAUGGCCAGAGUGGACGCCAAGGCUGAGGAGGCGCCGAGAGCCAGUGAGGGCUGCUAGCAUGUUGUCACCUCUCAAUACAUGCGGAGUUUCGCUCUUGUUGCCCAGGCUGGAAUGCAAUGGCGUGAUCUCGGCUCACCGCAACCUCUGCCUCCCAGAAAACUACUGGAGGGUGGUUCCAAGAUGGCCAAAUAGGAACAGCUCCAGUCUACAGCUCCCAGCAUGAGUGAUGCAGAAGACGAAUGAUUUCUGCAUUUCCAACUCAGUAGAGAGCUGACUUUAGAGGGAUCAAGAAUAGCUUGCUGGAUGGAAGGAGCUUGGGGCCAGUCAUCAUCUUAAAGGCUCUGUGGCAGCUUGGACUUGAAGUAGGGUGCACCCGGAAUUGACCAAUACAAACAGUGGACUGCACUGGAUUCUUCUUGUGCCCUGUCUCAUAUCCUCUUGUCCCACCUUUUCAUAACAGCCAUUGCCAUGGGAACCAGCUGCAUCCAGGCUAGAGCAAAAGGAGGUACAAAACCAAAUGCUAAGAAGCUGCUGCAUUUACUGAGAUAACCGUCUUCAGCUAAUGUGAAGCACCUACAACUUACAUAGAGGACUGCAGUAAAUACCUUAAAAACACAACCUCAUUCCAACCACAAGAAUCCAAUCAGAGAGAUCUGAAAAUCUCAGUUGUUUCUAAACCAAGAACUUUGCAAGGAUUCCAAAGCCACUCAGGGCUUGUUCAUUAAAUUCACCCAAGCUCGUUCACCAGGAGACCAUAGGGUGCCCGUGAGGUACAGUUAUUUGAUCUGAAUCACCUAACAGACAGAAGAUUGGCAAAAGACUCUACUUAUCUAGAACCUACUCCAGAUGCUACACCUAAAUGAGCCAUGUGAUUGUAGUCUGCAUUCUUGUGGAGCAAAAGAACAGAUGUGCAAGGGUUAUGAGAACAGAGAAUAACGAGAAAUUGAUUUUACAUCAGAAGAAUCAAGGCGGCUUGAUGAAGACAGGAGCUGAGGCUUGAUGUGUGCAUGCCAUUUGAUGGAUUAGUCUUACUGUGUAUAUCACAAUCAACAAUCAAAAAAUAAUCCCAGAAGCUUGGUACUCAACUCCAGAAACCUGAAGACUUAUGUGAAGGUAUUAUCUUUACUGUAGGUUUUCUUAAAUUGCUGGAGCUGAAGGUUUCACAUAAUUCUUCAAGCAUAACUUUCUGGAACUCCUGUUUAGACACAUAAAUUUCUCUUCUAAAUCUUCCAUUCACAGUAACUACAAAAAAAAA